Molecule: unclassified non-coding RNA, 360 nt
Filed under: Hevea brasiliensis (rubber tree)
Lineage: Eukaryota; Viridiplantae; Streptophyta; Magnoliopsida; Malpighiales; Euphorbiaceae
Source: RNAcentral
GACAGUGAAGGCAGUGAUGAAGAUUCGGUAAAUUCUAUUUGAGUGGUUGAGCUUUUGAAAAUUUAAAAGAAAAAAAAUGACAAAACAAUCGGAGAGCACCAAACUGGUAUCUAGAAAAUGUUCCUGUCCUGCAUAUUACUUUUUAUUCGAUAGCAAACACAUCAUAGAGUACGAAUAAUUAGCCAUGUUGUAUGUCAAAGAUCAAACAGUUGCCUUCAAUUUUUCCAUGGUGUUAGUUGGUUGAAGAUGGAAGCGUUGCGUGUUAAAGAAAUAUGUCGAUACUUGAGUUUUGAAACUCUAUAUUCUUGGUUGAAGAAUGUGUUUGAUUUUUAAAACUCAAGUAUCGACAUAUUUCUUUAA